GACGAACGCUGGCGGCGUGCUUAAUGAAUGCGAGUCGAGCGAGAACCAGAUGAGUGCUUGCACAAGUCUGGGGAGAGCGGCAAACGGGUGAGUAACACGUGGGUAACCUGCCCUGCAGACGGGCAUAACAGUUGGAAACGACUGCUAAUUCCCGAUGGUCUGUGGGAGCGUAAGCUUCCAUAGUAAAGGUUUAUUCCGCUGCAGGAUGGGCCCGCGGGCCAUUAGCUUGUUGGUAGGGUAACGGCCUACCAAGGCGACGAUGGCUAGCCGGUCUGAGAGGAUGGUCGGCCACACUGGGACUGAGACAUGGCCCAGACUCCUCCGGGAGUUAGCAUCAGGGAAUCUUGCGCAAUGGGCGAAAGCCUGACGCAGCGACGCCGCGUGAGGGAUGAAGGUCUGCGGAUCGUAAACCUCUGUAAGCAGGGACGAAUGCCCGAUUCUGUCGGGAGUGACGGUACCUGCAGAGUAAGCUCCGGCUAACU
Molecule: ribosomal RNA, 482 nt
Filed under: uncultured bacterium
Lineage: Bacteria
Description: bacterial SSU rRNA
Rfam family: Bacterial small subunit ribosomal RNA
Source: RNAcentral